GGAGCAGAGCGGAUGAUCGCCGGUCCGGGGAACCGGAGCGGAGGAAAGUCCGAACUCCACAGGGCAGGAUGGUCGCUAACGGCGACUGGGGGCGACCCUAAGGAAAGUGCCACAGAAAAGAUACCGCCCCUCCGCUUCAAGAGGGGUAAGGGUGAAAAGGCGAGGUAAGAGCUCACCAGUUUCCCGGGUGACCGGGAAAGCUUGGUAAACCCCAUCCGGAGCAAGACCAAAUAGGAGAACGGGGCGGCCCGCCCCCAUGUUCUCGGGUUGUGUCGCUUGAGGCGGCCGGCAACGACCGUCCCAGAGGAAUGAUCAUCGCCGUCCCCCGGGCGACCGGGAGGCGGAACAGAAUUCGGCUUACGAUCUGCUCUGACA
Molecule: RNase P RNA, 375 nt
Filed under: Pseudomonadota bacterium
Lineage: Bacteria; Pseudomonadati; Pseudomonadota
Description: Proteobacteria bacterium (groundwater metagenome) RNase P RNA component class A
Rfam family: Bacterial RNase P class A
About the family: Ribonuclease P (RNase P) is a ubiquitous endoribonuclease, found in archaea, bacteria and eukarya as well as chloroplasts and mitochondria. Its best characterised activity is the generation of mature 5'-ends of tRNAs by cleaving the 5'-leader elements of precursor-tRNAs. Cellular RNase Ps are ribonucleoproteins.
Source: RNAcentral